This 434-nucleotide ribosomal RNA is filed under the name uncultured bacterium. Its description in RNAcentral is "partial 16S ribosomal RNA". It matches the Rfam family "Bacterial small subunit ribosomal RNA", at positions 29 to 507 of the family's 1533-position model. The record is from RNAcentral.
AGCGAACGCUGGCGGCAGGCCUAACACAUGCCAGUCGAACGAACCUUUCGGGGUUAGUGGCGGACGGGUGAGUAACACGUGGGAACGUGCCUUUAGGUUCGGAAUAACUCAGGGAAACUUGUGCUAAUACUGAAUGUGCCCUUCGGGGGAAAGAUUAAUCGCCUUUAGAGCGGCCCGCGUCUGAUUAGCUAGUUGGUUGAGGUAAUGGCUCACCAAGGCGACGAUCAGUAGCUGGUCUGAGAGGAUGAUCAGCCACAUUGGGACUGAGACACGGCCCAAACUCCUACGGGAGGCAGCAGUGGGGAAUCUUGCGCAAUGGGCGAAAGCCUGACGCAGCCAUGCCGCGUGAAUGAUGAAGGUCUUAGGAUUGUAAAAUUCUUUCACCGGGGACGAUAAUGACGGUACCCGGAGAAGAAGCCCCGGCUAACUUCGUG